Molecule: ribosomal RNA, 342 nt
Filed under: Tetra pinnatifidae
Lineage: Eukaryota; Metazoa; Arthropoda; Arachnida; Trombidiformes; Eriophyidae
Description: partial 16S ribosomal RNA
Rfam family: Bacterial large subunit ribosomal RNA (bases 182-342)
Source: RNAcentral
GUAAUCAAAAGUUUAUUAAUUGUAAACCCGUAUGAAGGAUUAAAUCUAUAAUCCCUUUCUUUUUCUUAAGAUUGAAUUUAAAGAAAGAUAAAAAAUACUUUCUUAGAAGGCAGACGAGAAGACCCUAAAAGCUAAUUAGAAAUAAUUUUUUGGGGAAAAUAAAAUUAAGAAUCUAAUUACUAAAAACUUGAUAAACUUAGAAAUAAGCUACUUUAGGGAUAACAGAGUAAUUUUUUUUAAAAGAACUUAUUGACUAAAAAGAUUACGACCUCGAUGUUGGAUUCCUGAAUCUAUAAGCCGCAGCAGGUAAAUUAGAAUAGACUGUUCGUUUUUUAAAUCAGG